GCCUUUGUUGCAAGAGUAGGAGUAGGAUAGUUUUUUUGGAUCCAGUAAACAUUUGAAAAAAUACUGUUAGCGUAGUCACUGUUGAUGUAAAAGUUAAAAUUCUUUCUUGGGCUAGCUUCGUCGUUUCUCCAAGGGUCACAAAUAUUCGCGAGCAUCCCGACAGUUAAAAGACAAUGGCGAUCUCCGCAGCGUCGCUUGCUGGUCGAAUAGCGUUGGUGACGGGAGGAGCUUCCGGAAUCGGUCGCGCUGUUUGCGUUGCCUUUGCACAAGAGGGCGCCCGGUGUGUUGUAGCGGAUCGAAAUAUCAGCGAUGCACAGAGGACUCAACACAUUCUCGAAAAAGCGCACGACGGAGAACAUUCAGCUAUAGAAAUGGACGUCUCUAAUAGCCAUUCUGUUUCGUCGGGAUUCAUACGAUUGAAGGAGCUUCAAAGUCGACCUGCCGAUAUUAUUGUCAAUUGCGCAGGUAUUACUAGUGAUGGAUUUCUGCUUAACAUGACGGAAACUAUGUUUGAUGAGGUCAUCAAGAUCAACCUCAAGGGAACUUUUCUCGUAACACAACAAGGGGCUAAAGAGAUGGUGGCCGCUCAGCUUCCUGGAUCAAUUGUCAACAUUUCGUCAAUUAUGGGUAAAACGGGUAACAUCGGCCAAACGAAUUACGCUGCAUCGAAAGCUGGAGUUGUCGGUUUUACAAAAUCAGCCGCUCAGGAACUAGCCAAAUUCAAUAUAAGAUGCAAUGCUGUAAUGCCGGGUCUCAUUGAUACCCCAAUGAUAACAACUGUUCCCGAAAAGAUCACAAAGCUUGUCGUAGACAAGAUCCCGCUACGCCGAAAAGGCUCGCCUGAAGAGGUUGCGGAGGUGGUUAGAUUUCUGGCAUCGAACGAAAGCUCCUACGUCACCGGAGGUGUAAUUGAAGUAACCGGAGGUCUAUUCAUGUAGCACAAAGAAGCUAAUGUUGUCUAUCAUUUAAGAUGCUGUGUUAUUGGUAUUGGGAGCUGGCAUUGAUGCGUAAUGCAUCGCUGAUGCAACGAGAAGUAUUCUUUGUCUGUAUAGGUAAUAACUGAGACACAUAUUAUAUUAGUUAAACGGUCAGGUACAAAGCAGUUUAAAACUUUCAUGUACAGUUUUUGAAUAGAAUUCGCGUUCUUUAGAUAUACAAAAUGUCCCUUUAUUUUGUUUGUCAGGUAGCGUGCUUGAAUAAUUUUAGAUGAGAAACUUUAUACCAAAAGCAGCCUUGUUAUAUGAAAAGAAAAUUAUAAGGGGAAUUUUUAAAUUCAGCCACUUGGCAGUUCGAGUGGAAAUAUAAACUAUUUUAAAUCGUACUUGCCGAAAACGAAUAUGGAAAGCACUAAUUUGGGGGGUCUAUCCUCGUGGGCCGGUGGGACUGAAUGUAGACCCUAUUUAAUGUGAGCUAAACGGCCAAUGUACAACAGAAACAAAGAGAAGCUGGAGAUUAAGAAGUACAUAAUGACAUUAUCAAGGCGUCACUAAUACAGUACAGCGUUAGCAGACAUGGAAUGCGUUUUGUAAAAAAAAAAAAGUAAUCUAUAGGAAAUUAAUUGUAUAACGCUGGAUCAAUGGUAAAAAUGAUUGCUUCAUGAGCCAUGACGUUCCGUAAUGGCUUUUUGUCGACUUACGGAGCUGACCUGUUGUUAUCGGUCGACCAUAGCUUUGUCCCGGCCCUUGUCUUUAGUCUUCGUUUAAAUUUAACUCUGUUUUCUAUCACCUCUUCUUCUAGGAGUAGUAGCCUUCUGCGGUUUUCGACUCCCACCUUUUCUUCCAUCCCUUUUAUAUUCAUUGUCUUCUAGCGUCUCUCACCGCCCCCUUCCUUUUGUCCUUCUUUCGCGCAUUUGCUUCGGGUAACAGGACGAUGACCAAAACCGAUGACAGUGGAAGCAGCGACGAUAAUAGCUGGAUAGCGAUUGGAUGGAUAUUGUAAUGAAUAUCAUCUUUAGUUGUUGCCUUUAAAUAAAGAGAAGUAUAUUUUUUUCUUUAAUAUGUCAUAAGCUCUCUUCUUUCCAUGAAGCGCAAAACCUUUUGUUAGAACUACGCUCACUUUUAAAUAGUUAAUCAAAUUUAAUACGUGAAAUGUCAACCCAUGUGACUCGAUGGUUCGGGUACGUCAAAGCGCAUAUAUUGCCUGAUAUGACACUGUAGCAUUUUAGGUGACUGCCUUUGACAUUAAGAUGCAAACAUUUAAAUAUACGGAGUUUGCCUUGCCAUUUGCAUACAGAAGGAUAUUUCUACUACGCUAUAAAGUUUGUUAAUAUGUUAUAUACAAUGACGGAUUGAUGGCUACAUAGUUUUCUAUCGACGACACAUCGUGCGAUGUCUGGCCUGAAAAAGCUCUCCACCUGACGCGGCUAAGUGGGCACCCUCCACUAUGUUAGAUCGACCGAGAAAAGUGGUGACGAGAUAGAGCGGUGACUAAGCUGUACGCCGGGUGAAACGGAGUUCUUCAUUAAAGAUCAGUUAACGCUGCUCGCUGGUUCAACCAAGUAUAUGCGGUGUAGCAUUAUGAUACAGCAAUGUCAACUUGUAUUGAUUGCCAUUUGCCAAUUUCGGUUCGAACGGACGGGCCUAUUUGCGCAAUAUUCUCCUGGGGUUUGGAUUACUUACAGCAUGACGUGCGUUUAGAGAUGUCGUAAAAGAUUAAUCUUCCAUUGCCAGUAACGAUUCCGCAUAGAAGUGGCUUUCUCUUCUCUCAUUCAGGUAACGCCAGAAAUACCGUCAGGUACCUCUUGUGUCUGUCCAGUGAAUUUUUGGGCGUACACUUUCUCUAAUUUUUUCGAUAUUUCCUAGUGCAUGCAAACUAUUGACAACAGUCCUCUAGGUUACUCACAGCUCUAGAGAGAGCUUUCACGUCAAUUGCGCCAUAUAUUUUCCACGGAAUACUCCCAGAUACUGUCGUUCUAGAGCUGUCCAAAGCGUGGCUUGUUGUUGAAAUUACGAUACCUGCUCUGAAGCAAUUAAAGUAAAAGUAACAAGCGGUAACGCUUACUGCACGUUCAGCUUUGGCUACUUAUUUUUUUCUGGGCAAUAUUUUUCCACCGCGAACAUAGUAAAUAAGACAAUGUUGCAUAUGGACCCUUUUGAGCUCAAUGACCAAACAUGCCGGAGCACCACUUCUAACGACAACAUCUUAGUGAAAAUGUCUGGGCACACGCCUACUAUAGUAAAAACGACCAUCCAAAAGAUAUUAAACUAGAUCCUAUUAGAAGAUUCUACUAGUGCAAUCGAUUGGCUUUACCGGAAACCUUCUACUCGGCCUAAUAAGAUGGUAACCUAUGUAAAACUAUGUGAUAUCAAAACAUAAAUGUGUGAGGACGUGGUAACAUGUAACGAGACGGCAACGUUCAGCGUAAUUUCGGUUACAAGAUCUCUCAUAACGUUGGCAGGGAAAACCUUACCUUAAUUCGCGCUAGCCGGUUGACGGAUGACAUCAUGAAACUCCUGCGUAACGUGUUGACAGUCUUUCUGUUUCCUCUUAUUAAUAUGAUAUAUAGCCUUUCAAUAUCAAAAAUCCAAUAAUAGGACUCUCUAUCGCAAAGAAACCUAUCUUUCGGCAAGAUGUUCAACAGGACAAUAUUGUUAUGCAUUAAAAGAUAAUUUUGACCUUGGCUUAUUUGGCAUUGUACACCAAGAGAAAAUGACCAUGUAAAUCUAUCUACUAUUGCUUAUUAAUAAAAAAAAAAAAAAAACUUAACCCUCCCAUCCAAUCAAUGCAUAGUACUUUUACUCUAAUAUUCCGUAUGAAUAUGCCUUACACAGUCAGUGUAGUGGCGACUAAGCUAACGCUGAACUUCAGAUAGCUGGCAACAACAACCCUAAUGAUCCUAUGUCUGACGAGAGAACUGAGUGAGAUUCAUAAAUACCAACGAGUAGAAGUAGAGUGGUCAGUGAAUGACGAGUGACGGCGGAAAGCUGAUGAACGAUUGGUCUUGAAAGUGGUUUACAGGUCGUCGACAAAACAGUACGACGAAGGAAAUAAGACGCACAAGCUAUAUAAGUAAUAACGAUGAGUCGACAAUGAAGCCAGCGUGCGUCUAUAGAAAAGGACGAUAGCGAGCCUGUUGCUACAUCUGGGGAAUGCAGACGAUUCCGUCGGAGCAUUGACAUGCUACACAAGGGUACUGGAGAUGGAGUCUGAAGCAAUAGAACAUCGCAUAAUAGCACGUAACAUAAAUCAGCUAGAUGAUUAAACGACGCAUUUUUACAACUCCUAGAACUUUUUAAGCAGAUAAACCACACCAUCAUUCGGGAGAGAAAAAGAUAGCAUUGAUCUGGGGAUCUGAUUCUCGAUACAUCCGUUGAUCUAAUAAUUGUCGUUAACCAGGGUCGUUUGCAGCACGAUCGUACAACAAAACGUUUUUAUAACAGACUAUUGGUACAUCUUUUACUAUACUCUUUAUUGUUCAACCUCAGCUUUUACCAAUUGUCUUAAUAGGAUAAUAAGACCAUAAUAAUAUUUGGCUCAAGUGAGAUUUCAUGUGGUAGUUGCAUUUAAUCGCAGCUUCGUUCCCAGCUAAAAUGUGUUAAUUUUAGACAACCUAAGGAACAUAUUCUUGAACUAUCUUUUGAGUGUUAUCUUUUGCUUAUCUUUACAAAUUACCUGAUAAGCUUGUUUAUCAGACCAAAGCCGCAUAGCUCAAAUUUGCCAGUAGCAGUUUCCCAAAUCAGUGUGAUUUGAUACAAUAUGAAUAGACUUCUAA
Molecule: non-coding RNA, 4711 nt
Organism: Varroa destructor (honeybee mite)
Lineage: Eukaryota; Metazoa; Arthropoda; Arachnida; Mesostigmata; Varroidae
Source: RefSeq, a predicted model, not a curated record